AUUGAACGCUGGCGGCAUGCCUUACACAUGCAAAUCGAACGGUAACGGGCCUUCGGGUGCCGACGAGUGGCGAACGGGUGAGUAAUACAUCGGAACGUGCCCGAUCGUGGGGGAUAACGAGGCGAAAGCUUUGCUAAUACCGCAUACGAUCUACGGAUGAAAGCAGGGGACCGCAAGGCCUAGCGCGGACGGAGCGGCCGAUGGCAGAUUAGGUAGUUGGUGGGAUAAAAGCUUACCAAGCCGACGAUCUGUAGCUGGUCUGAGAGGAUGAUCAGCCACACUGGGACUGAGACACGGCCCAGACUCCUACGGGAGGCAGCAGUGGGGAAUUUUGGACAAUGGGCGCAAGCCUGAUCCAGCCAUGCCGCGUGCAGGAUGAAGGCCUUCGGGUUGUAAACUGAUUUUGUACGGAACGAAAAGCCUUCUUUUAAUACAGGAGGGUCAUGACGGUACCGUAAGAAUAAGCACCGGCUAACUACGUG
Molecule: ribosomal RNA, 482 nt
Filed under: uncultured bacterium
Lineage: Bacteria
Description: partial 16S ribosomal RNA
Rfam family: Bacterial small subunit ribosomal RNA
Source: RNAcentral